AGUGAACGCUGGCGGUAGGCCUAACACAUGCAAGUCGAACGGCAGCACUGAGGAGCUUGCCCCUUGGGUGGCGAGUGGCGGACGGGUGAGGAAUACAUCGGAAUCUACUCUGUCGUGGGGGAUAACGUAGGGAAACUUACGCUAAUACCCCAUACGACCUACGGGUGAAAGCAGGGGAUCUUCCGACCUUGCGCGAUUGAAUGAGCCGAGGUCGGAUUAGCUAGUUGGCGGGGUAAAGGCCCACCAAGGCGACGAUCCGUAGCUGGUCUGAGAGGAUGAUCAGCCACACUGGAACUGAGACACGGUCCAGACUCCUACGGGAGGCAGCAGUGGGGAAUAUUGGACAAUGGGCGCAAGCCUGAUCCAGCCAUACCGCGUGGGUGAAGAAGGCCUUCGGGUUGUAAAGCCCUUUUGUUGGGAAAGAAAUCCAUCUGGUUAAUACCCGGGUGGGAUGACGGUACCCAAAGAAUAAGCACCGGCUAACUUCGUGCCAGCCGCCGCCGUAA
This 506-nucleotide ribosomal RNA is filed under the name uncultured bacterium. Its description in RNAcentral is "partial 16S ribosomal RNA". It matches the Rfam family "Bacterial small subunit ribosomal RNA", at positions 29 to 523 of the family's 1533-position model. The record is from RNAcentral.